GGAUUGUAGUCUGCAACCCGACUACAUGAAGCUGGAAUCGCUAGUAAUCGCGGAUCAGAAUGCCGCGGUGAAUACGUUCCCGGGUCUUGUACACACCGCCCGUCACACCAUGGGAGUCGGAAAUGCCCGAAGUCUGUGACCUAACCGUAAGGAAGGAGCAGCCGAAGGCAGGUCGGAUGACUGGGGUGAAGUCGUAACAAGGUAUC
RNAcentral lists this ribosomal RNA (206 nucleotides) under uncultured bacterium. RNAcentral describes it as "partial 16S ribosomal RNA". It matches the Rfam family "Bacterial small subunit ribosomal RNA", at positions 1295 to 1500 of the family's 1533-position model. The record is from RNAcentral.